CAGGGAUAAUAAACAUUGAAUGAUGAUUACCACUUUUGCGUAGUCCGUUUAACUGUUCAUCUCUAGGUCGAUCGGUACCUCAAUAAUAAUAAAUCAUUAACUUUACUAUUAAUUUAGUGAAGUUAAUUUGGUUUAGAUGUUAUCUCGGUCCUUAAGCUUGUCUAGGUCACACCCAUGGCUGCUAGGCUAUGGACAAUGGGCCCGAAAGGGUUCCUGGGCCAUUAGCUCAGGUGGUUAGAGCGCACCCCUGAUAAGGGUGAGGUCCCUGGUUCAAGUCCAGGAUGGCCCAUUCAACAUCUAAAAAGGUGGUUGGGGGGUUUAGCUCAGCUGGUAGAGCGCCUGCUUUGCAAGCAGGAUGUCAGCGGUUCGAGUCCGCUAACCUCCAUGGAAAAGUGAUCUAGAAGGUAAUGGUGAAACCAGCCUCGUUUAAUUUUUAUAAUUUAAAGAUUAUAGAAUUUAAACGAUGCUGGGCUCAGCAAUGGGUUCAGCAAAGAACCUUGACAACUGCAUAGGUGAAUCUGUAAAUAAGCAUCUAACAGAUGAUACAGAGAGUAUUUAAUUUAAACGAAGGUUUAGGUUAAGUAUAAUUUGUAUCAAGCAAUUCUGUAGAAAGCCGAGAUCUAAUUAGUUACGGAAAUCUUUUUUUCACGAAGGGGAUGAAAGUAAUUAGUUAGGUAAAUAAAUG
Molecule: transfer RNA, 685 nt
Filed under: uncultured cyanobacterium
Lineage: Bacteria; Bacillati; Cyanobacteriota
Description: 16S-23S ribosomal RNA intergenic spacer
Rfam family: tRNA (bases 313-385)
Source: RNAcentral